UACGUAGGGUGCAAGCGUUUAAUCGGAAUUACUGGGCGUAAAGCGUGCGCAGGCGGUUUUGUAAGUCAGAUGUGAAAUCCCCGGGCUUAACCUGGGAACUGCGGUUGAAACUACAGGACUAGAAUCUGGCAGAGGGGGGUGGAAUUCCACGUGUAGCAGUGAAAUGCGUAGAGAUGUGGAGGAACACCGAUGGCGAAGGCAGCCCCCUGGGCUGAGAUUGACGCUCAGGCACGAAAGCGUGGGGAGCAAACAGG
This 254-nucleotide ribosomal RNA is filed under the name uncultured bacterium. RNAcentral describes it as "partial 16S ribosomal RNA". It matches the Rfam family "Bacterial small subunit ribosomal RNA", at positions 524 to 776 of the family's 1533-position model. The record is from RNAcentral.